RNAcentral lists this ribosomal RNA (427 nucleotides) under uncultured beta proteobacterium. RNAcentral describes it as "bacterial SSU rRNA". It matches the Rfam family "Bacterial small subunit ribosomal RNA", at positions 355 to 774 of the family's 1533-position model. Lineage: Bacteria; Pseudomonadati; Pseudomonadota; Betaproteobacteria. The record is from RNAcentral.
UGGGGAAUUUUGGACAAUGGGCGAAAGCCUGAUCCAGCCAUGCCGCGUGAGUGAAGAAGGCCUUCGGGUUGUAAAGCUCUUUUAGUCGGAAAGAAAGAGUUGCAAUGAAUAAUUGUGAUUUAUGACGGUACCGACAGAAAAAGCACCGGCUAACUACGUGCCAGCAGCCGCGGUAAUACGUGGGGUGCGAGCGUUAAUCGGAAUUACUGGGCGUAAAGGGUGCGCAGGCGGUCUUGCAAGUCAGAUGUGAAAGCCCCGGGCUUAACCUGGGAAUUGCGUUUGAAACUACAAGGCUAGAGUGCAGCAGAGGGGAGUGGAAUUCCAUGUGUAGCAGUGAAAUGCGUAGAGAUGUGGAAGAACACCGAUGGCGAAGGCAGCUCCCUGGGUUGACACUGACGCUCAUGCACGAAAGCGUGGGGAGCAAACA